UCAACUUGAAACAUUGUACCCUAUACAGAGAUAUUAUUAACACAGUGUACUGUCACAUGUCUGCAUUGGCUUAUAAAUGUACACUUCUAUACUAUUCAUAUAUUCAUGUCAAUUGCUUAGUUCCAAAUUUGUAAUUAUGUGAUCGUCCAUGAUAAUGUGCUAAAUUAUUCAUCACAUAACUUUUAUACAUUCUUUACAUAUUACAUACACUACUCGAGUUUUAUGAUACGCUGUCAUCUAUUCACUGUAUUACCUGUGUAUAUGUCAGUAACAUACAUGCGUUCACCUUUGUAACUACUGCACAAUAUAGUUUCC
Molecule: long non-coding RNA, 315 nt
Filed under: Nicotiana benthamiana
Lineage: Eukaryota; Viridiplantae; Streptophyta; Magnoliopsida; Solanales; Solanaceae
Description: long non-coding RNA (NBEN_LNC034652)
Source: RNAcentral